UGGGCCCCAAGGGAGAAUAUUUCUAAUAUUGUUCAAUACACUAACAACAAAAAGAAUGGGACCCAUAGGGAUUAUUGGGUGAAUAUAUAGAUACACAGCAUACGCACACCGAGGGACCUAUUUUUUUCAUUAUCAUCGUCAUCUCAUCCUCUCCAUAAGAAAACUGACCAUCAUCUUCCAUUUUCAUUUUUCUAGAGAAAAAAACAGAAUUCACGCACCACUCUCACAAUCCUCUCACCGUUGCACACCACCAUAAAUAUACCCUCACCGAUAAACACUGAACACAUACAGAUCCACAUAUCAGUCGCGCACACACACUCACAUCUCACCAAAAAAUGCACUCUCUCAGUGAAAAUGCACAAUCACACACACAUCCAUUGAAAUGACGUGAGAAUAGGGAGACGAGAGAGAGAGAUUGGAGAAAAUCGAGAGAGAAAAGCUGAGACGAAAACGAAAUUGAGGUAAGAGGUAUUUUCUCCGGUGGGUUAUUGCCGGAGAUCCACCGGAAUCACUGCCCCAACGUCAAUAGCCAUGGCCUGGAAACUAUUCCGACGAAACCUGACGGAAAACAGUACCAUCGGCUCUAUUACGAUCUGAAAUCACGUUCUAAGCUCGUGCCUCUUAUUUUUCGGUCAAAUCCCACCGGCUAGCGUCAGUUCCAACCACUAAAUCGUCAUUCGGGGUUGUGACCUUCUUCUUUUCUCAGUUUCAAUUUUGGAUACUUAUCGGGGUUUUGUUUCGUGGCUGAGUUGAUUCUAUUCAAGGGCUAACGGGUUGUAGAGUCGAGAUUCGUUGAGUCCGUGAAGCGGCUUCAGUCGAACGAUCUGAUUUGAAAUAAAAUUGAGGUCCAAAUUCUUCAACUCUAUCUCUUCUCAUUUUAUCUGUGAUGAUGUCCUUGAUUUGUGUGGUUCAUGUUUGAGUUUGAUGGUUAAUUUUUGACAGAGUGUUUGAGCCUCUUUAAUUAUCGUAGUUUGAUCGGUUUAUUUAAUUGAGCCUUGUUUAAUUAUGUUGGUUGAAAUGAAUUUGAGUGUGGGAAUGGAAGAUUGAUAAGGUAAAUGUGGACUAUUAGGUAGGUUGAGUAGGCAAAGUUUAGGAUCUAUAAUUGUUGAAUGAUGAAAUAUUUGUGGAGUGGUUUUGAUUUAUACAUUGGAAUCUAUUGUAUUCAUUUAGCCGGGGAAUGCCUCGAGGGAUUUAUAUUGAUUUAUUUGGGGAAUGUCCCGAAGUAUCAUGUACUUGAAGACGGCGCACGAUCAAGGCACGGAGCAUCGGGUGGAGAAAGCAAUGGAGCGUAGUUAGGAAUAGCCUAGAAUAGAGUAGGUUUAUAUUUCCGCAUUUUUCUAUUUCGGAACUGUAUAAUUGGACUGAACACUAAAUUUUGGAUUAUUUUGUUUUGCUUGAUUGAUUGUUUUGCGUGCAUUGUGUGGUUUAUUCAUUCGUAGUGUCAAACUAGUCUAUACACUCUACCAAGCGACCGUGGUCAAACCAUGGGAUUAAGGGGUGCCUAACACCUUCCCCUCGGUCAACAGAAUUCCUUAGCCGGAAUCUCCAUUUGCGGAUCAGUUAUAGUCAAAAUCAUUUUUGAAAAAGGAUAUCCACGGGUGACUUGGCACAUCCGAUUUAUGCCAAGUGGCGACUCUUAGUUUAAAUGUAAGAAGUCCUUUUUUGAAAUAAAUUUUCAUCUUUUGUCACUUUGAUAAUAAAAACUCUUUCGAAACUUAAAAUAAUUAUUUUUUUGGAGUUAAAAAAAGAGGUGUGACACUUAAUAUUUAUAAGACGAAGAAAAUGUUGCAUCUAAUGCAUGAAAAUUGAACUUGGAAAAUCAUAAUAAAAACAUACAAAAAAAUUAGAUGGACAUAAAAAUUAUUUGUUAUCAAUAAUAUUGUACGUCAUAAUUACUAGAAUUGAUACUAUUUUUUUUCUUAAAUCAAUUACCCAGACAAGCUCUGAGUCGUGUUGUAUUAGCAAAAAGGGGC
Molecule: long non-coding RNA, 1973 nt
Filed under: Capsicum annuum
Lineage: Eukaryota; Viridiplantae; Streptophyta; Magnoliopsida; Solanales; Solanaceae
Description: long non-coding RNA (CANN_LNC020651)
Source: RNAcentral